UGUGGAGUAGCUCAGUUGGUAGAGCAGAGGCCCGAUAAGCCUUUGGUCCCUGGUUCGAGUCCAGGCUCCACAA
Molecule: transfer RNA, 73 nt
Filed under: Stenotrophomonas phage A1432
Lineage: Duplodnaviria; Heunggongvirae; Uroviricota; Caudoviricetes; Mesyanzhinovviridae
Rfam family: tRNA
About the family: Transfer RNA (tRNA) molecules are approximately 80 nucleotides in length. Their secondary structure includes four short double-helical elements and three loops (D, anti-codon, and T loops).
Source: Rfam by way of RNAcentral